GCUUUGGAUGUUACGUUGCCAUAGCAACGCCGAGUCGCAUACAGUAGCCGAAUCCGCGAGCGCCCAGCGUCUGGCUUCAAAUGCUACCACCGCGCACCUUUUCUCACCGGUUUACAGCGAGGUUGCGCAGAAGAUCGCGUUAAAUAAUUGUGAAGGAUAUCGCUCGAUACACGGGGGCGUGACAACUUGAGUUGGUGCUCGGAGGAAUUGGGGGUGGCCUAAAUGAGGUGUGAGAGGAGGAGGGAGAGGUCAGUGGAGUAGCGAUGGAGAGAGAGAGAGGGAUGAGGGACAUCAGAUGGCUGAUUAGCACUGAAUUGAUAACGUUCUAAAUUCAGACAAGAGGAAUCAGUCACUGCCUCACUCUCUAUCCACUUUUAACUCUUCACAUCCGACUCUGCGGAUAAUCGGAUAUGGAACACAGCUGCUGUGUCUUUCAGCCUAAAAUGAUAUUCACAUUCAGCUAUACGGCUUCCUCCCUCGGAGGGGCUCGUACGGUCCAGUGGCCAAUCCCGGCACCCUCGGAAUCAGCGUGCCCCCGAGCGAACUCCCUUCACCUCACUUUCGUACCCCCCUCCUCCGACUCUCUCUGCGGCGCACUCGCUCCACUGACAUCACAUCUAUACCAUGAGCUCCCUGGCUCUCUUUGAAUACCCCCGCCCCCUUCCCUUUCCUUCCUGCCUUUUGCCCCCGAACUCUAUGCAGUAGUAGAGGAGGCAUUGUUCACAGCCCACAGCUCAACCCUGGAAUUCUACACCAGUAGGCUCUCUCUCUCUUUCUCACUCUCUUUCUCGUCCAGGUUCAGCAUCCUGCUCCUUCUUCCUCUCCCUCCCUCUCUCUCUCUAUUAAAUUUCCAGUCACACAACAGUGCAGUGGAUAUCCCUCCCUCCCUCCGGUUUUCUCUCUCUCGGUCCUCUUUCCAAUCUCCUCCUCUCUCCCACAGAUACCCUCCUAUGUUGAAAUCUUCCUGGAUCUCUGUAUGUCUCCCUGUUGACUGCUCUCUCUCCAAGUCAAAGCCCUCAAUCUCCAUUGAUUAAGACUGCAAGCUGUCCCCCUCCUCAUUUACAAUUGCCUCAUUUCUUCCUCUUUCACCCCAAUUAAAACAAAUCCUUUCUCAAGCUGAGAUGUGACUGAUUAUGUGGACACCACAGGCCAUUAAAUGAACAGAGAUGUGGCCCGGCUGGAGGAUUAAUGCAGUUCAUAUGAUGAAGACAGAGCGGGCACGCUGAACACUAUCUAUAGGCCCUGUGUGUGUGAUAACCGCUCUUGGCCCUUCAGGGGGAACUGCAGGAAAGCAUGGGGCCCUUUGUGCGCUGCUAUGCUUUACUAGCUUUAGUGAACACGACACAUUUCAUGCCACACUUCGGAAUUAAUGCUCACCGCCGUGUCCUCACCCACAGAGCGAAAUACUCCCAAACCACAUGUGUGGGACAACACGGUGCUCUCUGGGUGUUUGUGCGCAGUUUUGCUGUGCCUGCUGACUGUUUUUGUCAUGCGAGUCAAUGAUGUGAUGCUCUGUUAAAAUUUGUUCAAAACUACAUUCAAAAUGCAAUUCACAUAGAGAGAUUUGAACACAAAUCUCCUGUGUUUUUAAUUGCUGUAUUGAACUUACUUUUGAUUUUGAGAAGUGAAAAAUGUUAGGAUGAUACUGUCCUGAUACUGUUUUUUCUUAUAUAAACAACACUGCUUAUCAACACUGGUUAUCUGCUUCACUGUUUAUAUUUAUUAUGUUUCAAAACAAGGAAUGACAUGAUAAGAGUGGAUCCCUGCAGACCCUCAUGAUGUUGUAAAGGUCAAUAAGUCUCUUAAAAUAUCAGAUAAUUUGAGGCAAAGUUAGUCAAUUUUAUGGUGUGAAUCCCCAAAAACAUGAUUUAUUAUUUUUGGAAAGAAAAAAAAAAACUAAAAACUUUGUAUUCAACGUGUA
Long non-coding RNA from Cyprinus carpio carpio, 1921 nucleotides. Lineage: Eukaryota; Metazoa; Chordata; Actinopteri; Cypriniformes; Cyprinidae. The record is from Ensembl.